AAGUCGUAACAAGGUUUCCGUAGGUGAACCUGCGGAAGGAUCAUUAUCACGUUAUCCACGUAUAAACCAUCCGUGAACUGUCACACCCUGAGUUAAUCUAUAGUUCGUGUAAUAGCUAGCAUAUGGACUCCUUUCUUGUGAUUUAGAGAGUUCGCUAUCUGUUGCCUCGGAAUAUUUAUUUAUUUCGUACUUGGAUUUUCUUAGGUGUAUUUUCUAAAUCACACUUUGUAUUAACAACUUGAACAAUUUAUUUAAUUUAAAGAACUGAUCUGUUUCUUACUCUUGGUAAAACAGGAGAAGAAAUAAAUUACGAAACAAAGAACAACUCUUAGCAACGGAUAUCUUGGUUCUC
This 352-nucleotide unclassified non-coding RNA is filed under the name fungal sp. Its description in RNAcentral is "partial internal transcribed spacer region". The stretch from base 1 to 46 matches the Rfam family "Eukaryotic small subunit ribosomal RNA", at positions 1786 to 1831 of the family's 1831-position model. The record is from RNAcentral. Lineage: Eukaryota; Fungi.